Molecule: long non-coding RNA, 1408 nt
Filed under: Equus asinus (donkey)
Lineage: Eukaryota; Metazoa; Chordata; Mammalia; Perissodactyla; Equidae
Description: lncRNA (ENSEASG00005026875.1)
Source: RNAcentral
GGGGAGGGGUGGCCGGCGGCAGCCUGGCCGCCCUUGUCUCUCCCGGGGAGGCCAGAACCGGCUGGGCCUGGGUGCAGCCCCCCUGCCCAGGCCUUGGCCUCCUAGCCCGGCAGAGCCGCCUCCCAGCCUGCCCCUGGGGAGGGGCCACCUGGUGUCAAUUAAACCCCAGCCACUCGGCCGCACCACGCCAGGCAGCUGAUUAGUGCUGCUGGCCUCUCCAGAUGGGGAGCCCUGCCUGAGAGGGGGCGGCCGCCACCACGCCAGGGGGAGGCUCGCCGGAGCCGCAGAAUGAUAAGAACUGAGGCUUCUCAAGCUCUUACCGCCUCCCAGCCCCACAGUGAACACUUCCUGCCAUCCUGUCACUGAAUGCCCAUCCUGACCCCAAAGGUUAGUACUUUUCUUGUCAAGAUCAUUGUGCAGGGGGGGAGGCACAGAUAAGUUAAAUGGCUUGGCCACGGGCACCCAGCUUGGAAACAGUGGAGGCAGGAUUCAAACCCAGGAAAUCAGACACCCCAGGCAGAGGAGCUAACCACUGAGCAACAUGACCUCAUAACUAGUUUCUUACCCGGUCCCUGGUGGUACUGCUCUUGGCAAGUCUGAGUUUGGGACCCUCGCAAAGGACUGUGGUGUGGAACACACACACACACACUUUUCUGGGUCUUUCGUCCCAGGAACCACUUCCCUGACACCAGAAGGGUUACAUAUUUAUUGUGGGGUCGCUACAUGAGGAGGCCCCAGAAGGGACGAUGCUUCCCUUAGGUAGUGACUUGCUCAUGGUGGCAUUUCUGGCACUGUGACAGGUUAGAGCAAUGGUGGACAGGGGACCCUCCCAGGGCCUCUCCCUCCCUCCCUUGUGGAGAACCAUAAACUCUCUUUAUAAUUCACAAGGCCUGAGGGAUCAUGGCAGGGGACAGGAGGCAGAGGUGAAAGGAGAGAUGGAGUUCAUUCAAAACUCUUUAUUGGCACUCUGUUAGGCAUUGCAGAGCCAGCCAGCUGUGAAUAGGGCACAGAGACAGAGACAGACAAGCAGCUAGGGAGCCAAGGGCAGUGAGAUCUAUGCCAGGUUGGAGGUGAGCCCAGGGGACUCAGGAAGCGUGGAGGGGGCACCUGCCCCAGUCUCAGGAGGUCGAAGAGGCCUCCUGGAGGAAGUGAUGUCUCAGCUGGGAUCUGCUGGAUGAGAAGGGGUGAGCCAGGUAAAGAGGGGUGGGAAGGUGUUCCAGGCAUAAAGAAGAGCUUGUGCAAAGGCCCAGGGGUGGAAGACAACAGCCCAUGCCAGCCUCUGCGACUCACUCCAUCUUGAGGGCAAUGGAAGGCCACUGACGGGCUUGAAGUAAGGGAGUGACGAGAUUAUAUUCGUGUUUUAGAAUACCAUUCACUGCUGUGAGGAGAAUGGAUUGGAUGGGCGGAG